GAGUUUGAUCUUGGCUCAGAACGAACGCUGGCGGCGUGGAUUAGGCAUGCAAGUCGAACGAGAAAGGGUUCGCAAGGACCCGAGUAAAGUGGCGAAAGGGUGAGUAGUACCUAGGUAACCUGCCCUGAAGAUGGGGAUAACGGGCUCUAACGGGCCGCUAAUACCCAAUGUAUCGUCGGAACCGCCUGGCUCUGACGGCAAAGGUAGCCUCUGUAUACAAGCUUCCGCUUCGGGAGGGGCCUCGGACCUAUCAGCUAGUUGGUGUGGGUAACGGCCCACCAAGGCCUGGGACGGGUAGCCGGUCUGAGAGGAUGGUCGGCCACACUGGGACUGAGACACUGCCCAGACUCCUACGGGAGGCUGCAGUCGAGGAUCUUCUGCAAUGGGCGCAAGCCUGACAGAGCGACGCCGCGUGGGGGAGGAA
This 424-nucleotide ribosomal RNA is filed under the name uncultured Planctomycetia bacterium. Its description in RNAcentral is "bacterial SSU rRNA". It matches the Rfam family "Bacterial small subunit ribosomal RNA", at positions 9 to 412 of the family's 1533-position model. The record is from RNAcentral. Lineage: Bacteria; Pseudomonadati; Planctomycetota; Planctomycetia.